Molecule: unclassified non-coding RNA, 254 nt
Filed under: Hevea brasiliensis (rubber tree)
Lineage: Eukaryota; Viridiplantae; Streptophyta; Magnoliopsida; Malpighiales; Euphorbiaceae
Source: RNAcentral
GAUAUGAUCGACAACUAGUGUUGAAUGAGGAUCUGAAUUUUGUGUCCAUGCAGGGCCUUGAUCUUCCUGAUAUUCUUGUCGAAAUUGAAAAGCGUGGGUCAUCUUUUGCCAAAUUGUUGACUAUCCCAGAACAGGAUGACUGGGUUUAUAGUGAUGGCAAAUCAACAUCUUGUAUUGCUUUUGUUCUUGAAAUGUACAAGGAAGCAGGACUAUUUGGUCCACUUGCAAGUUCAAUUCAGGUUACAGAAUUCACG